RNAcentral lists this ribosomal RNA (329 nucleotides) under Sphingobacterium sp. Its description in RNAcentral is "bacterial SSU rRNA". It matches the Rfam family "Bacterial small subunit ribosomal RNA", at positions 1 to 321 of the family's 1533-position model. Lineage: Bacteria; Pseudomonadati; Bacteroidota; Sphingobacteriia; Sphingobacteriales; Sphingobacteriaceae. The record is from RNAcentral.
ACAAUGGAGAGUUUGAUCCUGGCUCAGGAUGAACGCUAGCGGCAGGCCUAAUACAUGCAAGUCGGACGGGAUCCAUCGGAGAGCUUGCUCGAAGAUGGUGAGAGUGGCGCACGGGUGCGUAACGCGUGAGCAACCUACCUCUAUCAGGGGGAUAGCCUCUCGAAAGAGAGAUUAACACCGCAUAACAUCAACAGUUCGCAUGUUCGGUUGAUUAAAUAUUUAUAGGAUAGAGAUGGGCUCGCGUGACAUUAGCUAGUUGGUAGGGUAACGGCUUACCAAGGCGACGAUGUCUAGGGGCUCUGAGAGGAGAAUCCCCCACACUGGUACUG